UGGAGACGGCACACUGGAAAUCAGAGUGA
RNAcentral lists this non-coding RNA (29 nucleotides) under Homo sapiens (human). The record is from RNAcentral. Lineage: Eukaryota; Metazoa; Chordata; Mammalia; Primates; Hominidae.